RNAcentral lists this ribosomal RNA (330 nucleotides) under uncultured bacterium. RNAcentral describes it as "bacterial SSU rRNA". It matches the Rfam family "Bacterial small subunit ribosomal RNA", at positions 568 to 898 of the family's 1533-position model. The record is from RNAcentral.
UGCGUAGGCGGUUUGGUAAGUUCGGUGUGAAAUCUCCCGGCUUAACUGGGAGGGUGCGCCGAAAACUGCCGGGCUAGAGUGUGGGAUAGGGAAGUGGAAUUCCUGGUGUAGCGGUGAAAUGCGUAGAUAUCAGGAGGAACACCUGCGGUGUAGACGGCUUCCUGGACCACUACUGACGCUGAGGCACGAAAGCGUGGGGAGCAAACAGGAUUAGAUACCCUGGUAGUCCACGCCCUAAACGAUGCGGACUUGGUGUUGGCCCUUCAUUGGGUCAGUGCCGCAGCUAACGCGGUAAGUCCGCCGCCUGGGGAGUACGGUCGCAAGGCUGAA